GGAAAUAUGAAGGAUCUUUGAAUCUGAUGUAGUGAUGUGGUUGAUGGUGGCGGCUAGGCGAGGUCGGAGAUGAGCGAAACAGAUGAGGUGUUGAGGUGUACAAUGGAGAUUAUGUAAUUUAAAGAUGGUGGGUUGAGAAGCUUGCAGAUGCGGUGGUGUGUGUUGGUUCUCCUGUUCCUGGAACGCUACCGACGGCAANNNNNNNNNNNNNNNNAUGGUGGAUGUGAGAGUGGAGGUGGAUCGAGAGACAGAGAGGGAUGUAAAAAUAUGUGAUGGAUAUGAGUUUAUUUUUGGUCAAAAGAGGAAUUAGGAUUGUAGUGUUUGUGGUGUU
This 331-nucleotide long non-coding RNA is filed under the name Trifolium pratense (red clover). RNAcentral describes it as "long non-coding RNA (TPRA_LNC011801)". Lineage: Eukaryota; Viridiplantae; Streptophyta; Magnoliopsida; Fabales; Fabaceae. The record is from RNAcentral.